Long non-coding RNA from Rhagoletis pomonella (apple maggot), 2148 nucleotides. RefSeq lists it as uncharacterized. The transcript is spliced from 4 exons. NCBI's taxonomy places the organism in Eukaryota, Metazoa, Arthropoda, Insecta, Diptera, Tephritidae. The record is from RefSeq and is a predicted model, not a curated record.
CUGUAAGUAGAGCAACAAUUGUUUAUAGGCAUCCAAAGCACUUAUCAAAAACAAUGGCUGAAAAUCUUUUUGUAAACACUGAUCUUUCCCUUGGUGGUCGAGUGGAGUUUGUUUUUAUCAAUGGUCUCAAUGGAUCAAAUCCUUUGAAAAGUCCACUACAUCCCCUUUUUUGGCGAACGAGCAUCUUCAGUGCGAUAAAUCUACCCAAUCAAGUGAAGGUCGGGGAAACAAUGUUGGUGUUAUUUCACAAAGUUCAAAGGAUAUCAACCAGUGGCGGAUCCAGCGAGGGGGUUUUGGAGUUAAACUACGUGUCAGUCAGUGGCGGACCCACGGGGGGUGUUUUAAUACAUAGACGCCAUACCCCCAAAACCCCCCCGCUGGAUCCGCCACUGAUAUCAACAGUCAAGUUCUGGUGGCCAAGAUAUCAAUCAAUUUGAUUUAUAUUAUUAAUUCAAAUUCUUCCGGAAAAGGCAUGGUUGAAACAUACAAAAAAGAAAAGGCCUUGGAUGAUAACUUACGCAAGCUAUUAGUUGAAUCGGUUUUACAAUAUUGUAUUAUGAACAACCACGAUCUUUCCGUUACUAAUUGCGCUUCUAUUUCACUUCAAAUUUGCGAAGUAUUCCCUGGCGAUUUGGCGGUAAACAACUAUUCUGACUUCAUUUCAAAAUUCACCUUUCCGUCUGUAUUAUAUCUUAAAAAAUUAUCACAGAAUGAACAUUAAAAUUAAUUUUACCCUUUCAGUCAUCCUAUUACCUUGAGCGAAAAAACGCAGCUCCGUUGGGCAAAUUAUACAACAAAUUCAUGAAUUGGAAAACAAAUUUCAAUAGAAAGACAAAGACUUCAGACGGUAAUUUGAAAAAAACGAAAGCAGAGGUCAUUUUCAAUAGUGGAAGAUGAGGACGAACAUAUUAGAGCGUUGACACAAGACCUCCAUGCAAUGGCUUAUCAGGAAAAAAUCAGACACUGGCGCGCGUGUUUUGCAACACGUAUGAAUAGCCGAGAAUAAUCCAAAACAGAUCUUCAAUGUUUGACCGCAAUACAAAUUGCCUGAUGGUUUUCGUUUGAAAUGAGGUCUUUGACAACCUCACUCCUUUUAGAAAUUUGCUUUUGGAUAACGUUUUUCCGAAUCGCGUCAAGGAAUUCAAAGAUUAUGCUAAUAUGUACUACACAAUAGAGAAAAACAAAGUCAAUCUCUCAGAAGAUUCCAUUUGCGCCAACGCUUUUGUUCUUCUACAGUCACUGCUGUCGACUCUGUUAGAAACUAGCACAUAAUAAGACUAAUGCAAAAAAAGGCUUUAUUCUCUCAAAGAGUCACUAGACAGUUUUAUGGCUGUUUGCGCAACUGAUACGGAAUAUAAACAAAUGUAUGAUUGCAAAGUCCAGGCAGUAUCUUCUAUUGCCCCCCUUCAUAUCAUUAAUUGGAACCCUAGACGAGACACAAUCAUUCAUGAUUGACUUUGACAACAUCACUUACAAAGUUUUCAACUUCGCGAAAGCUGUGGAUAUAUGCUUUAAAACAUACAUUGUUUUUAAUAUGGCCUACGCUGAGCCAUGCGCUGCAAUGUGGGACUUCAUAAACAGGCAAUUUUAUCAGUUAACUAUCAACGCCAAGCCCAAGCCAGGAAUAAACGCACUGCUUAAUGAAAUUAAAAUCGCAACGGAAACAAACCUCGAAGAAGCUACGAACCUGCCAAGUACCUCCACAUAAAAAUAUAAUAUAUAAGAAAGUGUAAAACCAUUAGUUUUUAUCUUUUCAUAAUUUAUAUCUUAAUUUUUUUAAUAAGAAUUUUGUUCGAGUUUCAUAAAUUAUAUUAGUAAAACUUUAAAUUAAAUGAAUAACAAUAAAUUUAAUUGAUGAAUGAAGUCAAUUUAAAUUAAUGAAACUAGAUUUAAAUUAAAGUUUGCGGUAAUAACACUGUGCAUCGAUAUACUUUAUUGAAUGAAGGCUAAGCAGUAAGAAAAAUACGUAGUAUAGAACCUAUUCGUACGCAUAUUAAUAAAAUACUUAAUUUUAAAUUGCUUAAACUUAUUACUUACGAUAGUUUUACUUGUAAUAUCUGCACUUCUUUCGUUGCACUAUAACAACCGUAGCUCAAAUGAUAACAACACUUCCAUUAUAUUUUAAUCAAUAAUGUUAAGCGUUGUUGC